UACGGAGGGUGCGAGCGUUAAUCGGAAUUACUGGGCGUAAAGCGCACGUAGGCGGUUUGUUAAGCUAGAUGUGAAAGCCCCGGGCUCAACCUGGGAUGGUCAUUUAGAACUGGCAGACUAGAGUCUUGGAGAGGGGAGUGGAAUUCCAGGUGUAGCGGUGAAAUGCGUAGAUAUCUGGAGGAACAUCAGUGGCGAAGGCGACUCCCUGGCCAAAGACUGACGCUCANGUGCGAAAGUGUGGGUAGCGAACAGG
RNAcentral lists this ribosomal RNA (253 nucleotides) under uncultured bacterium. RNAcentral describes it as "partial 16S ribosomal RNA". It matches the Rfam family "Bacterial small subunit ribosomal RNA", at positions 524 to 776 of the family's 1533-position model. The record is from RNAcentral.